Molecule: long non-coding RNA, 1024 nt
Organism: Bos taurus (domestic cattle)
Lineage: Eukaryota; Metazoa; Chordata; Mammalia; Artiodactyla; Bovidae
Source: Ensembl
GAAGUAGCUCGUCUACUUUUACCUCGAUUCAGCGCUUUCGGGCUCUGUUUACAGACCCGUCUGUGAGCCCCACCUGUGUGUCCGCGUGCUGCCCACGGAGAAGGCGCUGUUGCCGGGGUCGCGGGCGUGCGCUUUUAUUUCAGGCGCCCGUCAGGAACAGCAUCGCUCAGGAGUUUACAAAUUCAGCAUUGCGUAUUUGCGUAGCGAGGGCACCUUUGCCCUUUGGUCCUGAUUUUUUAAAUACUUGAUUACAUAUUAACCGUCAGCUGUUGAUUCAGUGUUCCUUAUUUUAUCCUCCUUUGUAUACAAGUUAACUCUAAAAUGAUCCAUUAGGCAAGAAUUAACUAAAUAUACUUUGUGGUAUUCUUUCCUUUGAAUCUCUACUAACUUUAUUCAGCUGGAAAUCAUCUUGAGAAAGGAAAUAAAACACGUGGCUCGUCACACACCUGGUUCUCACUUCUCUGACGGCUGUGGGGGAGCCACAAAACUGCUGAAAACUGUGCUUCUCCAGGAUGGAUUCCCAGCAGAACCCGGGAGGAUGGCUCAGGCAAGACUCUGCUCCUGUUACAGGUUGCAUGUUGAUUAUAUGAGACACCUCUGACCAGGGGGCCGGUCUCCCCCACCUCCAGAGUCGCCACCUUGGCAGAAACCCGGGUGAGGCCCAAAGGGGUUUAACCGGGGCAAAGUUGGAGGGUCGUGGGCGCUCAAGCCAGGAACCUGGAUGGAGCCCAGGCACACGCGUGCCACUCAUCACCAAGUCGUGGGCCAGGUGGGGUCAUGGCGGAGGUGUGGACGCACUGGAAACGCACGGCCCGGGGAGAAUUUCAAGUCUUUCAGAAACAGCCUGAAGGAGCCAGAAUAAAUGCUGGCCUCCACGCUCGCUCUGCCAAUGGACGCCAACAGUGAGACAAGAAGUUCUGACUUUCUGGGCCCCGGCGGCCGUGGUGACCGUGGAAGACCACAGGCACUCAUCUGUGUCACUGUUUCCUGAGUCAAACUAAAUGCACCUGAGACUCUCAUUGUC